Amphimedon queenslandica is the source of this 662-nucleotide long non-coding RNA. RefSeq lists it as uncharacterized. The transcript has 4 exons. Lineage: Eukaryota; Metazoa; Porifera; Demospongiae; Haplosclerida; Niphatidae. The record is from RefSeq and is a predicted model, not a curated record.
GUACCAGCAGUAUAACAAUAUCAAUAAGCUUUGCCUCAUUAAGAAGCUUUACAGCUGCUGUAACAACAGAAUCAACAGAAGUUACUUUUAGUACAUCAACAAGCUCAAUGAUGAGUACACCAGCUAGUACAUUACAAAGUACUGACAGUAAUACACUAAUAAUAGCAGGAAGUAUUAGUACAGCAGUAUUUAUAUUACUGGUAGUUACUAUACUAGUAAUAUUAAUAGUGAGUGUAUUAGUGUGUAGGAGAAUAUGGUAUAAAACAUCAAAAGGAAAUGAUAAUUUCAGUUUUGUUAAAAGGAAAGCUGAUAAAGAUCAGCAAUCAGAUGGUAUAAAAGUUAAUGUAUGACAUGUUCAUUAAGAAUGCAUAAUACUAUAUAUGAAUAAUAUAAUUUAAUUUGUAUAGGACUAAGAAUAAAUGAUACACUAGCAUCAUCAGCUAAUCCUGCAUAUGGAGUUUCUGGUGAAAGUAAGAACUUUAAAUAGUCCAUAGAUGGUCCUGCUUAAUAUACUGAAAAUAAGAUUUUAAUGUAUUUAUUAAUAGCUUCUGGUGUAUCUGCUAAUCCUGCCUAUGGUAUUAACAUUGGAGGAAUAGAAAGUAUUGAUGAAGAAUUAUUAGUAUAUGAUGAACCAAGAACAAUGAUGAAUAAUAAACGAGAGG